Transfer RNA from Pelodiscus sinensis (Chinese soft-shelled turtle), 83 nucleotides. It matches the Rfam family "tRNA". Rfam says of the family: Transfer RNA (tRNA) molecules are approximately 80 nucleotides in length. Their secondary structure includes four short double-helical elements and three loops (D, anti-codon, and T loops). The record is from Rfam. NCBI's taxonomy places the organism in Eukaryota, Metazoa, Chordata, Testudines, Trionychidae.
ACCAGGAUAGCCGAGUGGUUAAGGCGUUGGACUUAAAAUCCAAUAGACAUUUGUCUGUGCGGGUUUGAACCCAGCUCCUGGUA